GACGUAGGAGGCGAGCGUUAUCCGGAUUUACUGGGCGUAAAGGGCAAGUAGGCGGCGGCAGAAGUUGUGCGUGAAAUCUCCCGGCUCAACUGGGAGGGAGCGUGCAAAACUGGGUCGCUAGAGGGCAGAAGAGGGGAGCAGAAUUCCUGGUGUAGCGGUGGAAUGCUCAGAUACCAGGAGGAAUACCAGUGGCGAAGGCGGCUCUCUGGUCUGAACCUGACGCUGAAGAGCGAAAGCUAGGGGAGCGAACGGG
Molecule: ribosomal RNA, 253 nt
Filed under: uncultured bacterium
Lineage: Bacteria
Description: partial 16S ribosomal RNA
Rfam family: Bacterial small subunit ribosomal RNA
Source: RNAcentral